GGGGCUGACCGGUUUUGACAGUAAGUGUAAAGAUCGGGCUCGCAUGCAGGCUGGAGUAUGUACGGCCUUGAAAAAUUCAUAUGCACUAUAAAUGGCGAAGAAUCUUACGCUAUGGCUGCCUAAUCUUACCUUAACAGGAAAGAACGCUUAAAGGGUUGAGUUACGAGAGUAAUUCCCCGGCCACAUCUCACCGCCCGUUGUCUGAUCCGGGUGGAUCUGAGGUGUCGACUUGAUCGGACUGCUGCUUGUGAUGCUAUUAUGCAAGUUUAAGAUUCAGUAGCUAAGUCGAAACAAGGUGUGUCACCCAGCAUAUUUCGAUCGAAAACCUAACAGGUGACUAAGCAUGUAGAAGGUACGUUGUUUCCUUAUCUGGACGCGAGUUCGAAUCUCGCCAGCUCCACCU
This 403-nucleotide transfer-messenger RNA is filed under the name Algoriphagus winogradskyi. It matches the Rfam family "transfer-messenger RNA". From Rfam's summary of the family: Bacterial tmRNA, also known as 10Sa RNA or SsrA, is named for its dual tRNA and mRNA-like properties. Its role is to liberate the mRNA from a stalled ribosome. To accomplish this part of the tmRNA is used as a reading frame that ends in a translation stop signal. The record is from RNAcentral. Lineage: Bacteria; Pseudomonadati; Bacteroidota; Cytophagia; Cytophagales; Cyclobacteriaceae.